UGCAGUCGAGCGGACAGAAGGGAGCUUGCUCCCGGAUGUUAGCGGCGGACGGGUGAGUAACACGUGGGUAACCUGCCUGUAAGACUGGGAUAACUCCGGGAAACCGGAGCUAAUACCGGAUAGUUCCUUGAACCGCAUGGUUCAAGGAUGAAAGACGGUUUCGGCUGUCACUUACAGAUGGACCCGCGGCGCAUUAGCUAGUUGGUGGGGUAAUGGCUCACCAAGGCGACGAUGCGUAGCCGACCUGAGAGGGUGAUCGGCCACACUGGGACUGAGACACGGCCCAGACUCCUACGGGAGGCAGCAGUAGGGAAUCUUCCGCAAUGGACGAAAGUCUGACGGAGCAACGCCGCGUGAGUGAUGAAGGUUUUCGGAUCGUAAAGCUCUGUUGUUAGGGAAGAACAAGUGCGAGAGUAACUGCUCGCACCUUGACGGUACCUAACCAGAAAGCCACGGCUAACUACGUGCCAGCAGCCGCGGUAAUACGUAGGUGGCAAGCGUUGUCCGGAAUUAUUGGGCGUAAAGGGCUCGCAGGCGGUUUCUUAAGUCUGAUGUGAAAGCCCCCGGCUCAACCGGGGAGGGUCAUUGGAAACUGGGAAACUUGAGUGCAGAAGAGGAGAGUGGAAUUCCACGUGUAGCGGUGAAAUGCGUAGAGAUGUGGAGGAACACCAGUGGCGAAGGCGACUCUCUGGUCUGUAACUGACGCUGAGGAGCGAAAGCGUGGGGAGCGAACAGGAUUAGAUACCCUGGUAGUCCACGCCGUAAACGAUGAGUGCUAAGUGUUAGGGGGUUUCCGCCCCUUAGUGCUGCAGCUAACGCAUUAAGCACUCCGCCUGGGGAGUACGGUCGCAAGACUGAAACUCAAAGGAAUUGACGGGGGCCCGCACAAGCGGUGGAGCAUGUGGUUUAAUUCGAAGCAACGCGAAGAACCUUACCAGGUCUUGACAUCCUCUGACAACCCUAGAGAUAGGGCUUUCCCUUCGGGGACAGAGUGACAGGUGGUGCAUGGUUGUCGUCAGCUCGUGUCGUGAGAUGUUGGGUUAAGUCCCGCAACGAGCGCAACCCUUGAUCUUAGUUGCCAGCAUUCAGUUGGGCACUCUAAGGUGACUGCCGGUGACAAACCGGAGGAAGGUGGGGAUGACGUCAAAUCAUCAUGCCCCUUAUGACCUGGGCUACACACGUGCUACAAUGGACAGAACAAAGGGCUGCAAGACCGCAAGGUUUAGCCAAUCCCAUAAAUCUGUUCUCAGUUCGGAUCGCAGUCUGCAACUCGACUGCGUGAAGCUGGAAUCGCUAGUAAUCGCGGAUCAGCAUGCC
RNAcentral lists this ribosomal RNA (1317 nucleotides) under Bacillus pumilus. RNAcentral describes it as "bacterial SSU rRNA". It matches the Rfam family "Bacterial small subunit ribosomal RNA", at positions 56 to 1358 of the family's 1533-position model. Lineage: Bacteria; Bacillati; Bacillota; Bacilli; Caryophanales; Bacillaceae. The record is from RNAcentral.